GGUUAAGCGACUAAGCGUACACGGUGGAUGCCCUGGCAGUCAGAGGCGAUGAAGGACGUGCUAAUCUGCGAAAAGCGUCGGUAAGGUGAUAUGAACCGUUACAGCCGGCGAUGUCCGAAUGGGGAAACCCAGUGUGAUUCGUCACACUAUCGUUAACUGAAUACAUAGGUUAACGAGGCAAACCGGGGGAACUGAAACAUCUAAGUACCCCGAGGAAAAGAAAUCAACCGAGAUUCCCCCAGUAGCGGCGAGCGAACGGGGAGCAGCCCAGAGUCUGAAUCAGCUUGUGUGUUAGUGGAACGGUCUGGAAAGUCCGACGGUACAGGGUGAUAGUCCCGUACACCAAAAUGCACAGGUUGUGAACUCGAAGAGUAGGGCGGGACACGUGGUAUCCUGUCUGAAUAUGGGGGGACCAUCCUCCAAGGCUAAAUACUCCUGACUGACCGAUAGUGAACCAGUACCGUGAGGGAAAGGCGAAAAGAACCCCGGCGAGGGGAGUGAAAAAGAACCUGAAACCGUGUACGUACAAGCAGUGGGAGCACCUUUAUGGUGUGACUGCGUACCUUUUGUAUAAUGGGUCAGCGACUUAUAUUCUGUAGCAAGGUUAACCGUAUAGGGGAGCCGCAGGGAAACCGAGUCUUAACUGGGCGUUAAGUUGCAGGGUAUAGACCCGAAACCCGGUGAUCUAGCCAUGGGCAGGUUGAAGGUUGGGUAACACUAACUGGAGGACCGAACCGACUAAUGUUGAAAAAUUAGCGGAUGACUUGUGGCUGGGGGUGAAAGGCCAAUCAAACCGGGAGAUAGCUGGUUCUCCCCGAAAGCUAUUUAGGUAGCGCCUCGUGAAUUCAUCUUCGGGGGUAGAGCACUGUUUCGGCUAGGGGGUCAUCCCGACUUACCAACCCGAUGCAAACUACGAAUACCGAAGAAUGUUAUCACGGGAGACACACGGCGGGUGCUAACGUCCGUCGUGAAGAGGGAAACAACCCAGACCGCCAGCUAAGGUCCCAAAGUCACAGUUAAGUGGGAAACGAUGUGGGAAGGCACAGACAGCCAGGAUGUUGGCUUAGAAGCAGCCAUCAUUUAAAGAAAGCGUAAUAGCUCACUGGUCGAGUCGGCCUGCGCGGAAGAUGUAACGGGGCUAAACUGUGCACCGAAGCUGCGGCAGCGACACUAUGUGUUGUUGGGUAGGGGAGCGUUCUGUAAGCCUGCGAAGGUGGCCUGUGAGGGUUGCUGGAGGUAUCAGAAGUGCGAAUGCUGACAUAAGUAACGAUAAUGCGGGUGAAAAGCCCGCACGCCGGAAGACCAAGGGUUCCUGUCCAACGUUAAUCGGGGCAGGGUGAGUCGACCCCUAAGGCGAGGCCGAAAGGCGUAGUCGAUGGGAAACAGGUUAAUAUUCCUGUACUUGGUGUUACUGCGAAGGGGGGACGGAGAAGGCUAUGUUAGCCGGGCGACGGUUGUCCCGGUUUAAGCAUGUAGGCGGAGGUUCCAGGUAAAUCCGGUACCUUUUAACGCUGAGGUGUGAUGACGAGGCACUACGGUGCUGAAGUAACAAAUGCCCUGCUUCCAGGAAAAGCCUCUAAGCAUCAGGUAACAUUGAAUCGUACCCCAAACCGACACAGGUGGUCAGGUAGAGAAUACCAAGGCGCUUGAGAGAACUCGGGUGAAGGAACUAGGCAAAAUGGUGCCGUAACUUCGGGAGAAGGCACGCUGAUAUGUAGGUGAAGCCCCUGCGGGUGGAGCUGAAAUCAGUCGAAGAUACCAGCUGGCUGCAACUGUUUAUUAAAAACACAGCACUGUGCAAACACGAAAGUGGACGUAUACGGUGUGACGCCUGCCCGGUGCCGGAAGGUUAAUUGAUGGGGUUAUCCGUAAGGAGAAGCUCUUGAUCGAAGCCCCGGUAAACGGCGGCCGUAACUAUAACGGUCCUAAGGUAGCGAAAUUCCUUGUCGGGUAAGUUCCGACCUGCACGAAUGGCGUAAUGAUGGCCAGGCUGUCUCCACCCGAGACUCAGUGAAAUUGAACUCGCUGUGAAGAUGCAGUGUACCCGCGGCAAGACGGAAAGACCCCGUGAACCUUUACUAUAGCUUGACACUGAACAUUGAGCCUUGAUGUGUAGGAUAGGUGGGAGGCUUUGAAGCGUGGACGCCAGUCUGCGUGGAGCCAACCUUGAAAUACCACCCUUUAAUGUUUGAUGUUCUAACGUUGGCCCCUGACCGGGGUUGCGGACAGUGUCUGGUGGGUAGUUUGACUGGGGCGGUCUCCUCCCAAAGAGUAACGGAGGAGCACGAAGGUUAGCUAAUCCUGGUCGGACAUCAGGAGGUUAGUGCAAUGGCAUAAGCUAGCUUGACUGCGAGCGUGACGGCGCGAGCAGGUGCGAAAGCAGGUCAUAGUGAUCCGGUGGUUCUGAAUGGAAGGGCCAUCGCUCAACGGAUAAAAGGUACUCCGGGGAUAACAGGCUGAUACCGCCCAAGAGUUCAUAUCGACGGCGGUGUUUGGCACCUCGAUGUCGGCUCAUCACAUCCUGGGGCUGAAGUAGGUCCCAAGGGUAUGGCUGUUCGCCAUUUAAAGUGGUACGCGAGCUGGGUUUAGAACGUCGUGAGACAGUUCGGUCCCUAUCUGCCGUGGGCGCUGGAGAAUUGAGGGGGGCUGCUCCUAGUACGAGAGGACCGGAGUGGACGCAUCACUGGUGUUCGGGUUGUCAUGCCAAUGGCAUUGCCCGGUAGCUAAAUGCGGAAGAGAUAAGUGCUGAAAGCAUCUAAGCACGAAACUUGCCCCGAGAUGAGUUCUCCCUGAGACUUUAAGUCUCCUGAAGGAACGUUAAAGACGAUGACGUUGAUAGGUCGGGUGUGUAAGCGUAGCGAUACGUUGAGCUAACCGAUACUAAUGAACCGUGAGGCUUAACCUU
RNAcentral lists this ribosomal RNA (2905 nucleotides) under Klebsiella aerogenes. Its description in RNAcentral is "23S ribosomal RNA". It matches the Rfam family "Bacterial large subunit ribosomal RNA". The record is from RNAcentral. Lineage: Bacteria; Pseudomonadati; Pseudomonadota; Gammaproteobacteria; Enterobacterales; Enterobacteriaceae.